UCCACACGUCUUAAAUGAGUACUUCCAUC
This 29-nucleotide non-coding RNA is filed under the name Mus musculus (house mouse). Lineage: Eukaryota; Metazoa; Chordata; Mammalia; Rodentia; Muridae. The record is from RNAcentral.